Anas platyrhynchos (mallard) is the source of this 424-nucleotide non-coding RNA. The record is from RefSeq and is a predicted model, not a curated record. NCBI's taxonomy places the organism in Eukaryota, Metazoa, Chordata, Aves, Anseriformes, Anatidae.
UGGCAGGGUAAUGGCGUGUAAAGAAGUGACACAGCCAGGAUGUUCUGGGUGCUUACAGGGAGAAGAGGGAAACAAAACCAGUGUCGGAAACCAGCAGAAGUUGACUGCUGCGGAUCCUUCCUUAGCACAGCCUCAGGAAAAGCAUUCGGCUGCCCCGUGCCCCCCUCCUGGCACCAAGGCUCAGACACUUCAGCCUGAUGAGUCAACAGCAAUGACAAGAGGGCACGGCGAGCGGGAGCAGAAGGGGUUUGCAGUCCCACCAGCACGGAAGGCAGCAAGGUCCCCAAGCAGGAACCCCCCACGAGCAGGGCUGGUGCUCCCAGUAGCCGUCCACCAAAACACGCGCGCUGCCAGCGCGGACGGCGGUCAUUAAAAUCUGUGUGUAGUUUGUGAGGCUGUUCCAAUAAAUGACCCGGCGAAUUCA